GACGAACGCUGGCGGCGUGCCUAAUACAUGCAAGUUGAGCGCUGAAGGUUGGUACUUGUACCAACUGGAUGAGCAGCGAACGGGUGAGUAACGCGUGGGGAAUCUGCCUUUGAGCGGGGGACAACAUUUGGAAACGAAUGCUAAUACCGCAUAAAAACUUUAAACACAAGUUUUAAGUUUGAAAGAUGCAAUUGCAUCACUCAAAGAUGAUCCCGCGUUGUAUUAGCUAGUUGGUGAGGUAAAGGCUCACCAAGGCGAUGAUACAUAGCCGACCUGAGAGGGUGGUCGGCCACAUGGGGACUGAGACACCGCCCAAACUCCUACGGGAGGCAGCAGUAGGGAAUCUUCGGCAAUGGACGAAAGUCUGACCGAGCAACGCCGCGUGAGUGAAGAAGGUUUUCGGAUCGUAAAACUCUGUUGGUAGAGAAGAACGUUGGUGAGAGUGGAAAGCUCAUCAAGUGACGGUAACUACCCAGAAAGGGACGGCUAACUACGUGCCAGCCGCCGCAGUAA
This 513-nucleotide ribosomal RNA is filed under the name uncultured bacterium. RNAcentral describes it as "partial 16S ribosomal RNA". It matches the Rfam family "Bacterial small subunit ribosomal RNA", at positions 28 to 523 of the family's 1533-position model. The record is from RNAcentral.